RNAcentral lists this long non-coding RNA (322 nucleotides) under Setaria viridis. RNAcentral's name for it is "long non-coding RNA (SVIR_LNC002115)". Lineage: Eukaryota; Viridiplantae; Streptophyta; Magnoliopsida; Poales; Poaceae. The record is from RNAcentral.
ACUAUUCGCGAUCCGCUGCACAGGUUCUAAUUCGCUACCAUACUGCUAAAUACUACUCCUAUUUAGUACCUUGCCAACUACGGAGUACAACCAAAAUCUACGGCAUGGCGUCACGGCCUAUAAAGCGAAAGCAGCUGCUGCUAGUAUAUAGUAGGAUAGGACGCAUAAACUAUCGCGGCAACUGGGCCGGGGAAUAAUGGCGGUGCCGGGAAGGAAAUGUGAGAGCCAAGCUGCAGGACAUAAUAAAGCUCCAUCUUCUCGAUUGCAACUACAAAUCAAACUGCAAGUUGCCAUGCUUGCUCGGUUACUAAUUUAUACUACC